This 74-nucleotide transfer RNA is filed under the name Auricularia polytricha. RNAcentral describes it as "tRNA-Asp". It matches the Rfam family "tRNA". From Rfam's summary of the family: Transfer RNA (tRNA) molecules are approximately 80 nucleotides in length. Their secondary structure includes four short double-helical elements and three loops (D, anti-codon, and T loops). Lineage: Eukaryota; Fungi; Basidiomycota; Agaricomycetes; Auriculariales; Auriculariaceae. RNAcentral also lists the same sequence under 4 other names. The record is from RNAcentral.
GAGUCCUUAGUUUAAUAGGUUAGGGCACCUAAUUGUCAAUUAGGACGGUACCAGUUCGAAUCUGGUAGGACUCG